CAUAAUGUAGCUAAGAAAAAGUACAGCACCUCCCUUACACAGAGGAAAUAUCCGUGCAAAUCGGAUCAUUUUGA
This 74-nucleotide transfer RNA is filed under the name Chimaera sp. JHL-2020. Its description in RNAcentral is "tRNA-Val". It matches the Rfam family "tRNA". Rfam says of the family: Transfer RNA (tRNA) molecules are approximately 80 nucleotides in length. Their secondary structure includes four short double-helical elements and three loops (D, anti-codon, and T loops). The record is from RNAcentral. Lineage: Eukaryota; Metazoa; Chordata; Chondrichthyes; Chimaeriformes; Chimaeridae.